UAGGGUUGCCCGGGCAUGUCCCUCGUCGGGUGCGCACGUGAGCCGCAGCGAGCGACUCCGUUUUAGUAAUGACGGUAAGCGUUCAUCUUUAGUUGUACAGGUGCUGUGUGGGAGCAGCAGGUAAAUGCGGCUGACCGGGUGGUGAUUGUGUCGCUCGUAGAAACGCGCAAACCAGUCGCACGAGGAUGGAAACGUGAUUUUACAGCUACGACUAGCACAAAAUAACAUAACUAGGUACCACGAGCUCCUCGAGCCCAUAUUUUGCACACGGACAGCCAUGAACCUAGCGCCCCUUACUCGCUCGCUUACUCUUACCAUCACGCUGAAUCGCAGCACAUCUAGCCUCUCCUGAUCGCGAGUCUCCUUUUUGCUCGGUGAUCUUAACAAGCGCCAGUGUGGCGCCAUGGCGAUAUGUUAGUGCCAGGCAGAGUGUACGCAGACGGUUUUCUUUUACAAUUGUUGUCGCAUUCAGAUUUUAUGAUAGUUGUUGUAAGAAUGUAUUCAUGUAUUUGGCAGAAGCAGCGGAAGCGGUCACGAAACG
RNAcentral lists this long non-coding RNA (541 nucleotides) under Chlamydomonas reinhardtii. Its description in RNAcentral is "long non-coding RNA (CREI_LNC001104)". The record is from RNAcentral. Lineage: Eukaryota; Viridiplantae; Chlorophyta; Chlorophyceae; Chlamydomonadales; Chlamydomonadaceae.